GUGCACGCUGGCGGUAGGCCUAACACAUGCAAGUCGCACGGCAGCACAGUAAGAGCUUGCUCUUACGGGUGGCGAGUGGCGGACGGGUGAGGAAUACAUCGGAAUCUACUUUUUCGUGGGGGAUAACGUAGGGAAACUUACGCUAAUACCGCAUACGACCUACGGGUGAAAGCAGGGGAUCUUCGGACCUUGCGCGAUUGAAUGAGCCGAUGUCGGAUUAGCUAGUUGGCGGGGUAAAGGCCCACCAAGGCGACGAUCCGUAGCUGGUCUGAGAGGAUGAUCAGCCACACUGGAACUGAGACACGGUCCAGACUCCUACGGGAGGCAGCAGUGGGGAAUAUUGGACAAUGGGCGCAAGCCUGAUCCAGCCAUACCGCGUGGGUGAAGAAGGCCUUCGGGUUGUAAAGCCCUUUUGCUGGGAAAGAAAAGCAGCAGGUUAAUACCCCGCUGUUCUGACGGUACCCAAAGAAUAAGCACCGGCUAACUUCGUG
This 491-nucleotide ribosomal RNA is filed under the name uncultured bacterium. Its description in RNAcentral is "partial 16S ribosomal RNA". It matches the Rfam family "Bacterial small subunit ribosomal RNA", at positions 29 to 507 of the family's 1533-position model. The record is from RNAcentral.